ACGCUCGACACCUACGGAGGCAGCAGUGGGGAAUAUUGCACAAUGGGGGAAACCCUGAUGCAGCGACGCCGCGUGAGUGAAGAAGUAUUUCGGUAUGUAAAGCUCUAUCAGCAGGGAAGAAGAUGACGGUACCUGAGUAAGAAGCCCCGGCUAACUACGUGCCGGCAGCUGCGGUAAUCUGAGCGGGCUGGCAAGGC
RNAcentral lists this ribosomal RNA (197 nucleotides) under uncultured bacterium. RNAcentral describes it as "partial 16S ribosomal RNA". It matches the Rfam family "Bacterial small subunit ribosomal RNA", at positions 328 to 539 of the family's 1533-position model. The record is from RNAcentral.